Xenia sp. Carnegie-2017 is the source of this 791-nucleotide long non-coding RNA. RefSeq lists it as uncharacterized. The transcript has 3 exons. The record is from RefSeq and is a predicted model, not a curated record. NCBI's taxonomy places the organism in Eukaryota, Metazoa, Cnidaria, Anthozoa, Malacalcyonacea, Xeniidae.
UCAACUUAGAACUUUAAAAUAAGCCCGUUACAUAUUACAUAAUUAACGGCCUUUUUCAAAAUUUCAUCUUCGGCAUUCUUGUUUGAUUCCUGUUUUAAUUCCUGUUUUCUAGGUUACGUCAUCAACAGGACUUCUAAGGUGUGAAAUGAUUGGUUUUUUCAUCCGCCAAUCAUCUGCUCACAAACGUGAAUUUCUUGCAGACGUUCGUAUUUUGAAGUCUUUUGGUUCACCCAUCAUUUAUUUAUCAUUUUCUUCAUUGGUUUGAUUGUUCACGGCAUGCAGUAAGUUGGAAAAAUAACAUCGACUUGUUACUCUGUGCAACAUCUUCUUUUGAUCUAGUCCCCAGGCUCUUCUCUUGCAAUAGCUCGUACACAUUAAUCUUUUUUUAGAGGUUUAAUACGUCGACAGACAAAUGUUAAGGAUCACGAUCCUGAAUUUUGUCAAUUAUCACCAAAAUGUAAAAUUGAUCCUCAUUUUGAGUCCGCAGGACCACAGGUCAGCAAAUCUGUUGUUUAAAUCAACAUGGAAACGUAUCAAAUAGAGAUAUUUUCUUAUUUUAGUCGCGGAAGUGGAUAGUAGCUCCGUUUGUCAUUAUAUUUCAUUGAAAGAUUCAUUCGUUUUCUUAUAUCUUUACAAACUGUCACUGUAACCAAGAUUGUGAAACAUCCAUCAAAUGUUAUUGAAAUUCAAAUGAAGAAAUUUGGGUUUUCAUAUUUACCUGCUCAGUAUGUGUUUCUUCAAUGUCCAAAAUAUUCUCAUUAGGAAUGGCAUCCAUUUACUUUAACCUCCGU